RNAcentral lists this ribosomal RNA (467 nucleotides) under uncultured bacterium. Its description in RNAcentral is "partial 16S ribosomal RNA". It matches the Rfam family "Bacterial small subunit ribosomal RNA", at positions 28 to 506 of the family's 1533-position model. The record is from RNAcentral.
GACGAACGCUGGCGGCGUGCUUAACACAUGCAAGUCGAACGGAAAGGCCCUGCUUUUGUGGGGUGCUCGAGUGGCGAACGGGUGAGUAACACGUGAGUAACCUGCCCUUGACUUUGGGAUAACUUCAGGAAACUGGGGCUAAUACCGGAUAGGAGCUCCUGCUGCAUGGUGGGGGUUGGAAAGUUUCGGCGGUUGGGGAUGGACUCGCGGCUUAUCAGCUUGUUGGUGUGGUAGUGGCUUACCAAGGCUUUGACGGGUAGCCGGCCUGAGAGGGUGACCGGCCACAUGGGGACUGGGAUACGGCCCAGACUCCAACGGGAGGCAGCAGUGGGGAAUAUUGCACAAUGGGCGGAAGCCUGAUGAAGCAACGCCGCGGGCGGGAUGACGGCCUUCGGGUGGUAAACCGCUUUCGCCUGUGACGAAGCGUGAGGGACGGUAAUGGGUAAAGAAGCACCGGCUAACUACGU